Long non-coding RNA from Rosa chinensis, 678 nucleotides. RefSeq lists it as uncharacterized. The transcript is spliced from 2 exons. The record is from RefSeq and is a predicted model, not a curated record. Lineage: Eukaryota; Viridiplantae; Streptophyta; Magnoliopsida; Rosales; Rosaceae.
UUAAGUCUAGCGCGUCUAGACGUCCUCCAGGUGUGGGGUUCGAUUCACACAAUACCCAAAAACCUUAAUAGUUGAAUAAUAAAAAUAAUAGAAAAGUCCCCUUCUAGGAAUUCAAUCCAAUGCACACGCGUUCAUCUUUCAUUUUCCCCCAAAUUGCUUUAGCCAUUUUUGUGUUCCUUCUUAGAUACAAACCCUUCCAUUUCACUUUCAUUAUCAAAUUUUCCCGUCAAAUGGAAAUAUUUCACCGAAUUUCGUCCUAUCAAUCAGCACUUCUCUACUCUUCUCACCUCGUUGCAUCCAUCAUCACUGUUCUCUCAUCACCCAGAAAACCCUAAUCUUCUUCCUUGCCAUUCAAAAUCAAGACAUAAAAUAGCUGAGGAGUAGAAUACUUGUCAAUCAAAGUUGAAAAUUCAAGCUGGGUUUUAGUGUUAGUGAUUUCAGUGUCUUGUUGAAAAUUUCAGAAUUUUCUUGUAGAAAAUCUGGAGUCUUUGCAAUUUGGAAAAUUUCAGUUGUAUUUGUAUUGGCAGGUGCAGGGAAGAAAAAAAAGAAAAGGAUCUCGACUGCUACUCUGAGUGCUCUCCCAAAUCUCUCUCCUCACUUUCAGACGAAAGUCACGAAAUUCGUCCAGAAAUUUCUCCAGGUUAUGAUGGCUCCGAUUAGGAAGUAUCCUUCUGGGGU